AUUGAACGCUGGCGGCAGGCCUAACACAUGCAAGUCGAGCGGAUGAAGGGAGCUUGCUCCUGGAUUCAGCGGCGGACGGGUGAGUAAUGCCUAGGAAUCUGCCUGGUAGUGGGGGAUAACGUCCGGAAACGGGCGCUAAUACCGCAUACGUCCUGAGGGAGAAAGUGGGGGAUCUUCGGACCUCACGCUAUCAGAUGAGCCUAGGUCGGAUUAGCUAGUUGGUGGGGUAAAGGCCUACCAAGGCGACGAUCCGUAACUGGUCUGAGAGGAUGAUCAGUCACGCUGGAGCUGAGACGCGGUCCAGACUCCUACGGGAGGCAGCAGUGGGGACUAUUGGACAAUGGGCGAAAGCCUGAUCAAGCCGUGCAGCGUGUGUGAAGAAGGUCUUCGGAUGGUAAAGCACUUUAAGUUGGGAGGAAGGGCAGUAAGUUAAUACCUUGCUGUUGUGACGUUACCAACAGAAUAAGCACCGGCUAACUUCGUG
RNAcentral lists this ribosomal RNA (484 nucleotides) under uncultured bacterium. RNAcentral's name for it is "partial 16S ribosomal RNA". It matches the Rfam family "Bacterial small subunit ribosomal RNA", at positions 30 to 507 of the family's 1533-position model. The record is from RNAcentral.